This 771-nucleotide ribosomal RNA is filed under the name uncultured Actinomycetes bacterium. RNAcentral's name for it is "bacterial SSU rRNA". It matches the Rfam family "Bacterial small subunit ribosomal RNA", at positions 73 to 859 of the family's 1533-position model. The record is from RNAcentral. Lineage: Bacteria; Bacillati; Actinomycetota; Actinomycetes.
AGCACCUUCGGGUGUGAAUUAGCGGCGAACGGGUGAGGAACACGUGAAGAAUCUGCCUUCAACUCUGGGAUAACUCCGGGAAACCGGGGCUAAUACCGGAUAUGAGCCUUGAUCGCAUGAUCGGGGCUGGAAAGUUUUUCGGUUGAAGAUGACUUCGCGGCCUAUCAGCUUGUUGGUGAGGUAAUGGCUCACCAAGGCGACGACGGGUAGCCGGCCUGAGAGGGCGACCGGCCACACUGGGACUGAGACACGGCCCAGACUCCUACGGGAGGCAGCAGUGGGGAAUAUUGGGCAAUGGAGGAAACUCUGACCCAGCGACGCCGCGUGAGGGAUGAAGGCCUUCGGGUUGUAAACCUCUUUCAGUAGGGAAGAAGCGAAAGUGACGGUACCUACAGAAGAAGCACCGGCUAACUAUGUGCCAGCAGCCGCGGUAAUACAUAGGGUGCAAGCGUUGUCCGGAAUUAUUGGGCGUAAAGAGCUCGUAGGUGGUUCGAUACGUCGGAUGUGAAAAUCAGGGACUCAACCCCUGACCUGCAUCCGAUAAGGUCGAGCUAGAGUUUGGUAGGGGAGACUGGAAUUCCUGGUGUAGCGGUGGAAUGCGCAGAUAUCAGGAGGAACACCGAUGGCGAAGGCAGGUCUCUGGGCCAAUACUGACACUGAGGAGCGAAAGCGUGGGGAGCGAACAGGAUUAGAUACCCUGGUAGUCCACGCCGUAAACGGUGGGCGCUAGUUGUGCGAACCUUCCACGGUUUGUGCGACGCAGCUAACGCA